UUCCAGACUCCUACGGGAGGCAGCAGUGAGGAAUAUUGGUCAAUGGGCGCGAGCCUGAACCAGCCAAGUAGCGUGAAGGAUGACUGCCCUACGGGUUGUAAACUUCUUUUAUAAAGGAAUAAAGUGAGGCACGUGUGCCUUUUUGUAUGUACUUUAUGAAUAAGGAUCGGCUAACUCCGUGCCAGCAGCCGCGGUAAUACGGAGGAUCCGAGCGUUAUCCGGAUUUAUUGGGUUUAAAGGGAGCGUAGAUGGGUUGUUAAGUCAGUGGUGAAAGUUUGCGGCUCAACCGUAAAAUUGCAAUUGAUACUGGCAGUCUUGAGUACAGUUGAGGUAGGCGGAAUUCGUGGUGUAGCGGUGAAAUGCUUAGAUAUCACGAAGAACUCCGAUUGCGAAGGCAGCUUACUAAACUGCCACUGACAUUGAUGCUCGAAAGUGUGGGUAUCAAACAGGAUUAGAUACCCGUGUACA
RNAcentral lists this ribosomal RNA (468 nucleotides) under uncultured bacterium. RNAcentral's name for it is "bacterial SSU rRNA". It matches the Rfam family "Bacterial small subunit ribosomal RNA", at positions 329 to 794 of the family's 1533-position model. The record is from RNAcentral.